Molecule: ribosomal RNA, 292 nt
Filed under: uncultured bacterium
Lineage: Bacteria
Description: partial 16S ribosomal RNA
Source: RNAcentral
GGACUACAGGGGUAUCUAAUCCUGUUUGCUCCCCACGCUUUCGCACCUCAGCGUCAGUUGCGGACCAGUGAGCCGCCUUCGCCACUGGUGUUCUUCCCAAUCUCUACGAAUUUCACCUCUACACUGGGAAUUCCACUCACCUCUUCCGAACUCAAGCACAGCAGUUUUGAAGGCAAUUCCGAGGUUGAGCCUCGGGAUUUCACCCCCAACUUGCUGCGCCGCCUACGUGCGCUUUACGCCCAGUAAUUCCGAACAACGCUAGCCCCCUUCGUAUUACCGCGGCUGCUGGCAC